AAACUGCGAUAAGUAGUGUGAAUUGCAUUUAGUGAAUCAUCGAAUCUUUGAACGCACCUUGCACUCACUGGUAUUCCGGUGAGUACGCCUGUUUCAGUAUCAUUGAAACACCACAGCCAAAAAUUUAUUUCUGGCUGGACUUGGGCUUAUUUCGGCUUGAGAGUUUUUACUUUCAAGUAGCCUAGAAUUCAUUGUCUGGCUAAUUGCAUCGUCUUUGACCGCUAUUAGACUUGGGCUUUAUAAAUGAACUGGAGGUUGAUUAACCAGUUUUAGCUCUAGUCAAAUGGUUAAUGUAAUUCGAUCUUGGCAUAGAGUACACUGAGCCGAAAAAUCUCGUUGUGCUAUAAAUCAUAAUCACUCUUAGUAUCGAUCUGAAAUCAGGUGGGACUACCCGCUGAACUUAA
Molecule: unclassified non-coding RNA, 404 nt
Filed under: uncultured Mucorales
Lineage: Eukaryota; Fungi; Mucoromycota; Mucoromycetes; Mucorales
Description: sequence contains ITS1
Rfam family: 5.8S ribosomal RNA (bases 1-102)
Source: RNAcentral